Molecule: long non-coding RNA, 392 nt
Organism: Petromyzon marinus (sea lamprey)
Lineage: Eukaryota; Metazoa; Chordata; Hyperoartia; Petromyzontiformes; Petromyzontidae
Source: RefSeq, a predicted model, not a curated record
GCCACACCCCACGCUGCAGUUGGCCCAGGGAGACCACUCUGACCAGGGCCACGAGUCUGAAACGACGGGACGUCGCGAAGGAACCACGCCGCCAGAAGUACAGCAAGCAGGGGCGCUGAUGUCCCCUGCGCUCGCUUCGUCCCUUACCAGUUGUUGCAACGGAUGGCGACUGUCUCCCCGGGAUGCACCAGUAUCCACGCUGGCUGGACCUCAGAGGCGGAGCUGCCGUUGACUCCAUCUGUACCGGGGAGGAAAACUUUGUCACCGUCACAGGCGAGGAAGUCAUAGGAGGAGGGCGCGGCAGGCCGCCUACGCACUGGGGCAGAAGGGGAAGAGGUUGCACGGCUUCGCCUCCAGCUGCACGCCCACGUCCCUGUGCUCGUGCCCGCGCU